Alnus glutinosa is the source of this 3050-nucleotide long non-coding RNA. RefSeq lists it as uncharacterized. The record is from RefSeq and is a predicted model, not a curated record. NCBI's taxonomy places the organism in Eukaryota, Viridiplantae, Streptophyta, Magnoliopsida, Fagales, Betulaceae. The transcript is spliced from 2 exons.
CACAAUCUUCUCUCUAUUGUUUCUUAUUUUUUGAUUUUCGAUUCUUCUGCACGAACAACAACCCCGGGCUUCUCUGAAGUUGUAAAAUUCUUGACGAUGAAAGCCCCAAUGUUCGUGCUAAAGCGACGACGUCCAGUGUUGCAGUUCAGCCCUUUCUGUAUAUCCACGGCUGAGUUGUGUCAAAUCGACGCCAACAUCUCUCUCAUUCCUUCUAAAAAUAAACGUUGUCGUUUUUAUCUUGCCUCGCUACACCUUUAGCUUGUUUUCUCGUUAAAGAUAGCGAUAUGAGAAUAAGGCUAGUCCUCGAGGCAAAUAGUGAAUCUUCUUUGGCGGUGUCAACGUGGGGGUUUAUCUUUUUUCAAUAGUUUUGCCUCUAAAAACAUCCGCGAUAGAUCUGUUUUCCUUUUUCACUAUUGCUGUUUUUGCUUUGUUUGAAUAGUUAGAAAAAAAUGAUUUUUUAUUGAAUCUUUUUAGUAUAAUGGUUUCUGGGUUAAUGUUGUUAUAGGGUUUUAUUUUAUUUUAUUUUGUGAGUGAUGUUGGCGAUGAUUAAAUAUUUAUCCGCGCUUCUGAGAGAAAUCAAUGAAGCAAAAACGGAAUGAUGGUUGAAUUUCUUGAUAUGAGCCUUCUUUGAUUGAUCUUUGGUUUCAGAAAAAUAUCUAGUUUAUGAUUUUCUUUGAUUUGUAUGAAUAUGAUUUGCAUGUACAAAUUGGCCGUGAUGAUUAAGUUUCAGCUUUAAUGCCAGUUCUGCUUCAGAAAAUUCUUGAUUGAUAGAGCUGUUAUAUAUUCUGAGCCCAUUAGAAAUCGUUUUUCUUCAAAUGAUUUAUGAUAGUUAGUUGUUGUGUGGAAAUUGGCUUCCAUGAUUGUAAGAUUUUGUGGGUUUGAUUCUGUCAUGUUAUUUUCGUGUGUUAUUUCAUAUUUCGGUGGCUAAUUAGUAGAAGUCAAUGAUGAUUUGUCCACAGUUUGAGAUUAGUUAGUUUCAAGACCCUGUUUUCAGGGAGAACCUCCUUGAGGCUGCUAAAUCAUAAUAUGAGCUUACUGGACCAUUAUGAGGUUUUCGGCAAAAAAAAACUUCUUUAUGUUCUGUUCUCAAUGAAUGUGUUGUGUUUUUGUUAUUCAAUCUUGGUUUAAUUGUAUUUAAUUGUAUUUCAUGAUGUUUAAAAUGCCGUUGAUGAUUCAAUCCAACUUGUUUGAGGUGCUGUGGAGCCAAGCCCUUGCUUAGCAGGGGGAACCUACUUGGGGAAGCAGCAUUUCAUAUGACAUUAAUGGAUUUAACUGAGGCUAUAAUUAUAUGUGAAAUUAAUAAAUUUCUUUUAUGCUUUGUGUUGGUGAAUGAAGUUGGGUUCUAUUUGCUACACUAGUUUAGAGCUAGUUGAAAAUUUGAUUUAUGUAGUAAUAAUGUUGUUGCUUUUAAGAUUUGUGUUCUGUAGCUUGCCAAUGAUGGUUUCAAUCCAACUUGUUUGAGGGCCCCCAGAACCAAGCCCCCAUUUGGGGAGAACCUACUUGGUUAAUCUGCGGUUUCCAAUGACAGCAAAUUGUGAAAACUGAGACUGUUCUGAACUUCCUUCUGAUUUGAAUUUUAAUUUGAGAUAAUAACAUGCCAAUUGAUUUGAUUUUAUACCAAUGUUAGUGUCCCUGGUUCUAAAAAUUUAACCUUGUUAUGCCAAUUAUUCUGUUUAAUGGUAAAUCAAGACCCUUCUUUUUAAUAAAUUAUUGUUCUUAAAUAUAGUAUGCACAAAACUUAUGUGUGGCUUGCCAAGUUUUUGUUUCUCGAGUUUUAACUAUACUCUUAACCACCUUCUAGUGGGUGUGGAGUCUGAAAAACUCGGAUAUCGUGUGUCGUCAUCAGCUUCUUCUCUUGUAAUCCCACGAGAUUGGAGUUAAAUAACGGCACGACAUUCACAACUCAUGUCCUAUAGAAUCUUUGGAUUUGGAGUUCUCGAGAGUGGAGGAUUUUAUUGAAGAUGACUGUUUUUGUCGUCUCUUUCAGCGGCCUUCCAAACAUGUAGUUGAUUUUCGGGAUAACGAAUCCUUUGUUGUUUUGCUCUGUUGUUUACUACUAAUAAAAUAUAGUAGAUAUGAAAAGUUACUUUUUUGAAGAAAAAAAAACGAAAUUGCUGAAAAAUUACUUGAAGGGUCUUUUAUAAGCGGUAGACAUUUCUAGAUUAACAUGAAGUGAAAAAUAAUUAUAGGAAAAAUAAAAAUUAAAUUGUGAUGGGUUAGGGUUUCUCCAGGGUCUAUAUAAAUAUUAGACAUAGCCGAACGAAGGUAAAGACUCCAUAAUUUCAAACGGUAGCGAAAAACUCUAGGCUGAAGAUUGUUGAUGGGGAUCGGUUGCAAUGAGGGCUGCCUGGGCAAUGGGCGGCUCUUGUUGUGCUGGAUCCAGAUCGUUGGGUUUUUAUUUUGGUAGCAAUCAGAGUUGCUUUUCAGAAGCUUUAGAUCUUUUUUCUUUUCUUUUUUUUUUUCUUCUUGUUUAGAGGCCUUCAUAAUCCCAGUUAAGCUCAAGCCUUAGUGCUUACCUGAUUCAUGGGAGGCCAAAAUCGAAGCUGGAAGUUUCGCUGAUUAACGCCUUGUUAUCACUUUGAGGCGUUUACUUAGUAACUUUGCCAUACAUCUAUUUUUCGUCUAGUACCUACAAUCCAUCUCCAAUAUUGGGCUCCUAAUUACCUGCAACUCCUCUACACUUCAUACCUUCUUAGACGCUGAUUAGGCCAGUUGCCCAAAUGAUUGUCGGUCCAUUAAUGCAUACUUUUUUUGGCAUCAGUCUCAUCACCUAGAGCUCUCGCAAACAACAGACGGUUGAUAGCUCGAGCACAAAGGCCAAGUAUUUUGCGCUAGCCAACUCAACCGUAGAGCUCAUCUGGUCACAAAGCCUCCUUCAAGAACUAGGUGUCUACUGUCUUCUUUCGUCACCCACCGACUCUUUGGUGUGAUAAUAUUAGUUCCAAAUAUAACAGAAAAAGAAAAAUGAAUGUAUGGUGAAGUUACAUCCAGCUUUGAUUUUGGCCUCCCAUGUAUCAAGUAAGCAUUUAAUCAUUUACAAAUUACAGGAA